Hydra vulgaris (swiftwater hydra) is the source of this 1163-nucleotide non-coding RNA. The record is from RefSeq and is a predicted model, not a curated record. Lineage: Eukaryota; Metazoa; Cnidaria; Hydrozoa; Anthoathecata; Hydridae.
UUAUUGUUGUCUUUUGUUAUAGAAUUGUUUUAUAAAUUUUGGAGCUUUAUGCCAAUUUAUUUCAUCCAAAUUAUUAACAGUUCUGUAUAGUUUUAUCACAUCACCUCUUGAUCUUCUAAUUUUUAAUGUGAAGAGAAAUGUUUAUCAGUGAGUUUUUAUGUGAUAAAUCCUUUAAACUAUAAACACGGAUUGCUUUAUGUUGGAGUUGUCCAAUCAUAAUAGCAUGUUUCUGCAUAUGUAAAUUCCUUAAUGGGGUUCAAUAAUCAAGUUGCUAUAAUCCAAACCUUUUGCAACUGUAAUAAUAAAACUCCAUUUUAUAGAGUUUGUUCGUGAUGAUUAAUGUCCUACCACAUAAAUGUAGUAAAUAUAAAAGCAAUGGCAAUAAACGUAAUGUUGACACAAAAAUGCCAAAUCUCAAGUUAAAUGGUUCAUCUAAAUCUUGAAAGUUUACACUUUAUCAAAUAAGUUAUUACUAUUUCUGUUUUCAGUGUUUAAGUGAAGGAAAAGUUGUUUUCCCUUAUUUUUACUAUUACUAAUGACUAGAUUUACUGUAUUUUUUUAAAUAGUCUCCGUGUAUAAAAAUAUUUAGGAAGAUUAAGAGGCAUUUUAAUUUUUAUUUUUAAAUUUUUUAUUUAUUUUUUGUUUAUUCAAAUAAAUUUUACAAUAAAAAAAUGAAUAAUAUACAUACAAUAAGAGUUACAAACUUUGUGACUUGACAAUAAGAACGCAGAUACUCGCAGGAGAUCAUAAGAGUUUGUCAUCAUGAACCGCCUAAACAGAUUUCAAAUAAAAAAAUGUUUAAGAUGCUUCAAAUUGUAAUUAUACUGUGGCAACAGUUUUGAUAAUAAAAUUAUAAAUUACUUUUUAUAUACUUUAUUUAGAAUCUUUUGUGAGUUGAAUUAAAUAUCAUGAAAUGUCAAAUCUCAAGACAUAAAUUUUUUAAUGGAGUUUUGGUCUAUAAUAAUCCAAGUACCACAUGUUUUAAUAAAUAUAUUUUUAAAAAGGAUGCAAGCACUAAAGAAGACAAUAACGUUACAAAUUGAAGCAGAAAUUUAUAACGAAUCAUGUUAAUGAUUGGAUGUGAAUCGCAGAAAAGCAUCAUUGUCGAAUGGCUAUGAAUCAAAUCUUUGUAUUAUAAUUGCGUAAAUAUAUUUUAAAGUUUA